CCCUGCAUUUAAAAAAAAUGUGUUUCCUUCCCUCCCCUUGUGAAGAGUGCUUCAGCUGAUGUCCUCUUUAAAAAAAAAACCUGAACAGCUGACCAGCAGUUUGGACUGUCAAACCUACAAAUAGCUGAUUUCAAGGAAGCACAAACAAUGAGCCAUUAGAACUCUCUGUCAGGCAGGGUUUCAUAGAAUUUCAUUAACUAAAAGAGCAUCUACACAAAGCAAGCUAAUACGAAAUUCUUUUGAAUUUGUACCAGCCCAAAAUCAAAACAGAAGAUGGGCCAUAGUGUGGUGAUUUGGAGAUGAAAAAACAACUUCACAACUUGAUUCAUUUUUGAAUUUCACCUAA
RNAcentral lists this long non-coding RNA (346 nucleotides) under Anolis carolinensis (green anole). RNAcentral's name for it is "lncRNA (ENSACAG00000042551.1)". Lineage: Eukaryota; Metazoa; Chordata; Lepidosauria; Squamata; Anolidae. The record is from RNAcentral.